RNAcentral lists this ribosomal RNA (430 nucleotides) under uncultured bacterium. RNAcentral describes it as "partial 16S ribosomal RNA". It matches the Rfam family "Bacterial small subunit ribosomal RNA", at positions 338 to 795 of the family's 1533-position model. The record is from RNAcentral.
CCUACGGGAGGCUGCAGUCGAGGAUCUUCGGCAAUGGGCGCAAGCCUGACCGAGCGACUCCGCGUGUGCGAUGAAGGCCUUCGGGUUGUAAAGCACUGUCGGGGGGGAGAUCGACCCCCGGAGGAAGCACGGGCUAAGUUCGUGCCAGCAGCCGCGGUAAGACGAACCGUGCGAACGUUGUUCGGAAUCACUGGGCUUAAAGGGCGCGUAGGCGGGUGGCCAAGUCAGAGGUGAAAUCCCACGGCUCAACCGUGGAAGUGCCCCUGAAACUGGUCAUCUCGAGGGAGGUAGGGGCGUGCGGAACUUCCGGUGGAGCGGUGAAAUGCGUAGAUAUCGGAAGGAACGCCGGUGGCGAAAGCGGCGCGCUGGCCCUUCUGACGCUGAGGCGCGAAAGCCAGGGGAGCAAACGGGAUUAGAUACCCUUGUAGUC